Exaiptasia diaphana is the source of this 902-nucleotide long non-coding RNA. RefSeq lists it as uncharacterized. NCBI's taxonomy places the organism in Eukaryota, Metazoa, Cnidaria, Anthozoa, Actiniaria, Aiptasiidae. The transcript is spliced from 2 exons. The record is from RefSeq and is a predicted model, not a curated record.
UUUUGGACCCGACAACGUUUCUUCAAUUAGGUGUAUGCGAUAAAAAUAGGAAAGUGCCUUGAGUGUUAUACAUGUACAAGCUAUAAGUCGUGGGAAGACUGCCAAAGUAAGCUGGAAAAGACGACUUGUCAAAGCAGUUCAACGCAAUGUUGCAAGACGAACACUAAUUAUACAACGGGCUUAACAAAGACAUCUAAAUGUAACGUCUACCAGAAGUACUGUGAUGGAGAGUCGCCAGAARACAAAUGCAACUAUCUGCCGAUUUCAUCCUUUACAUUUUCAACAACAUGUUGCCCUGGAAACUUGUGCAAUGCUGGUGCGGGGAAUCAAGGAAGUCAGGCUCUUAUCAAGUCCUUGAUCGCUUUAGCAGUGAUGUUGCCGUUCCUUCAUUAGUCUUCAUUGUACCUUAUUCGUACUAAUUUUCGCGAGCCGACUUAAUUUCGCGACUGAUUUGGAACACAAAUAUUUCGCAAGCGUUAACUUUCGCCGCGUUUUUGAAAAAAGGAUAAAUUUAAUUUAAUUUCGCGAAAAUUAUAAAGAGCCUAACCUAAAUGGACGUUUUGAAGACUGCACGAAAGAUCAUUAAAAAGAGCUAUAUGUAAURUAGAGAAAAAAAGUGAGUGAUUCGGAUGAAAAAAUGUUUAAAGCAGAUUAAUUAAAUUUCGCGUGUUUCAUUUUCUUCUCGGAUCCUUUUUUCGCGAGGUUUUAAUUUAAAAAUCGCGAAAGUAAAGCCUCGCGAAAAAAUUAGUGCGAAUAAGGUAGUCCAUUUCUUUUGUUAUGUAAUGGUAAAACACGUUUGAGAAGAAAAAAUUACACGAGCCUUUUUUAGGGGAGGGUUGAUCAUAAAUACCCUGGAAACGACCUUGCAAUAGCAAAAUAAAAACUAUACUAAAAAACUUUCA